Long non-coding RNA from Ostrea edulis (European flat oyster), 447 nucleotides. RefSeq lists it as uncharacterized. The record is from RefSeq and is a predicted model, not a curated record. The transcript has 3 exons. Lineage: Eukaryota; Metazoa; Mollusca; Bivalvia; Ostreida; Ostreidae.
CUCUGUGACUUCCUUUUUGGCUGCCAGUGGAAGAGAUGAAGCCCUGUCCGAUCAAUGCACGCAAGAUUGUGUCAAAUAAAAGAGAUGAGAUGGGUUUUGAGUUGAAGAGACUUGUAGUAUGACAUCUCCCCGACCUGCCGCUCGUCAAAAUUCCUUAGGGAGGUGACCAUUCUACAUUGAUCCAGUGCCUUUUUAUGGGAUCCGAAACUUUGACUGUGAGAUGUAUGAGAGUUUGACUUCUAGGCGGGCAAUUCUACUUUCACUUUAAACGGAUGGCAGUAACCUGAGACACCUGAGUGUAUCUCGACCCAUUUCCAGGCUAGCAUCGGAUGUUAUGAUGGACCUUUAAAAUCUUUCACAUGUGUACUUUCAAGAACCAUAUACAUUAUUUUUGAAAAUUGGUUGCCAUGGUAAUAAAAUCUGAAAAUUAAAACAUGGGCUUCUGAA